This is a long non-coding RNA of Indicator indicator, 184 nucleotides long. RefSeq lists it as uncharacterized. The record is from RefSeq and is a predicted model, not a curated record. The transcript is spliced from 3 exons. NCBI's taxonomy places the organism in Eukaryota, Metazoa, Chordata, Aves, Piciformes, Indicatoridae.
CUGCUAGCAUGGGUCUGGACACUGAACCUUGCAGAUGCUAACAGUGGUGGAAGAGGUCUGGACAGUAGGUUCUGGCCAAGGAGAUGACAUUCAGGAUGCCCUUUCUAUCAUCGCACCAAAGCAGCUGAGGAGCUCCUGUUACAGAGCAGACUCUGCACUCUUCAGCAAGGGCUUGAUCUUGAAG